This 504-nucleotide ribosomal RNA is filed under the name uncultured bacterium. RNAcentral describes it as "partial 16S ribosomal RNA". It matches the Rfam family "Bacterial small subunit ribosomal RNA", at positions 30 to 523 of the family's 1533-position model. The record is from RNAcentral.
AUUGAACGCUGGCAGCAGGCCUAACACAUGCAAGUCGGACGGUAGCACAGAGAGCUUGCUCUUGGGUGACGAGUGGCGGACGGGUGAGUAAUGUCUGGGGAUCUGCCCGAUAGAGGGGGAUAACCACUGGAAACGGUGGCUAAUACCGCAUAACGUCGCAAGACCAAAGAGGGGGACCUUCGGGCCUCUCACUAUCGGAUGAACCCAGAUGGGAUUAGCUAGUAGGCGGGGUAAUGGCCCACCUAGGCGACGAUCCCUAGCUGGUCUGAGAGGAUGACCAGCCACACUGGAACUGAGACACGGUCCAGACUCCUACGGGAGGCAGCAGUGGGGAAUAUUGCACAAUGGGCGCAAGCCUGUUGCAGCCAUGCCGCGUGUAUGAAGAAGGCCUUCGGGUUGUAAAGUACUUUCAGCGGGGAGGAAGGCGGUGAGGUUAAUAACCUCGCCGAUUGACGUUACCCGCAGAAGAAGCACCGGCUAACUCCGUGCCAGCAGCCGCCGUAA